This 30-nucleotide non-coding RNA is filed under the name Rattus norvegicus (Norway rat). Lineage: Eukaryota; Metazoa; Chordata; Mammalia; Rodentia; Muridae. The record is from RNAcentral.
UCCCUCAUCUGCACUGCAGAGAAAGCUGGA